CUACACCUCUGGGUAACAAAAGACAGAUUUAACAUCCCAUCUCAUGAACAAGUUACUCAACUAAUUUUAUGGAGGUACAGGUGGCUAUUCCGAACUAGUUGUCAGGUUCAAGAAGAAAUGGGUUGUACGCGAAAACCAAAAUAUGUCAAUGGUUCUUGGAUUUUUCGGUGAGUUGGAGUUUGUAAUUACAUUACGAGGAUGUCACGGCUUUAAAAUGUAUUCUUAUUAAAUAAAUAAGAAACAGGAACCCGGAGAAAUUAUAAUGUGAUAGAUUCAUUUAUGUUAAUGCAUUUUCAAUAUAGUUCCAUUUGAUGAUAGAUUAGAUUGUGAAUUUAUAUUCAAGAAAUAGAAUUUGUAUGAUUAUUCUCAACUCAUAGAAAAUGGGUGGAUGGUCUAAUUGACAGUUGCGGACGCCCUACAUAUAAUAUGAUCAGGCUUUCAUAUCAAAAUUGAUAGAUUUCUUUCUAAUAGGUGUUAUAAAGGGUCAAAAAAUGUUGCGCAAAAUCCAGGUUUCAUUUGUAAAGAGAUGAAGAGAAUAUAUACAUGUUGCUUUAAGGAGUUAAAGAACAGAAAUGUUAUUAUGUAACAGAAAUGGGUAGUAUCGGACUUUGUUGUUAUAUAUAUAAAUCUGGAAGGUGUUGAGUUUCCCUCAAAUUUACUCAAUUCCUUAGUAUGUAAAGGAACUGUACGUGGAUGAUGCCAUUGGAGCUGACCUUCAAUAUAAUCGGCUCUAACCCAUCCUAUCAAUUAUUAUGGGAGCUUAUGGUCAGAAGAACCUUCAAUAUAAUCGGCUCUAACCCAUCCUAUCAAUUAUUAUGGGAGCUUAUGGUCAGAAGAACUUGUAAAGUUUUGGCUUUCAGUAUAUUGUACUUAUAAAAUAUCAUCUAACAAUCUGGUAUAUUUCCACAAUCAUUUUAAUUUUUAUCGUGGUGGAACUGUUUCUUUGCACAGUGGCACUAGACUAGACUGUCCAUGUUAAGAAUAUAAUUUUUUCCAGACUCAGUGCACCAACUUGUUCGAAAAAUCCAGUCUCAGAGUCUCUGCUAUUAGAACAAAAUUCAACCUUGCUAGCAGGCAUGCUAACAGGUAGUAACACUCCAAACAUUAAGUUUGAUGACUACAAGAGGGACUCAGAGAAUGGUCUAAAGUGCUGCUCUGGUUACUUUUAUCCUUGGCAUUGAACUGCAAGAGAUACGCGUUACCCCACAAACUAGUGCUUGUUAUUAAACUAGCAAUCAGACAUUACUCUUUAGACUUUUACCAAGAAGCUCAUAUCCUCAAUGGUCACAGAGACACAGACUAACUAAUUCAUCAACCGAGUAGCUAAUUCAUCAAUGGACUACUUAGCUGAGGUCUGCAACAAAAACCAACGAAACUUAGCUGAGCUCUACAUUGCACAUAGCCAUGGUUUGCCAAGUACUGUAGAUUUCUAGUUUCAAAGAUCAUUUUCUCACCGGGUUGCUAUAUGUUGGCUGCCGGUAUGCAACAACUAAAUAUAAAAUUACAAAAUUCAAUAUUACAGAAAUCAAUCAGAUCUGUCAAAUGCAGUGGAAAAAUCAAAAGUACUAAAUAUAAAUAACCAAUUCAAUAUAGAACUUACCAAGGAUAGUAAAAUAAUUCUAUCAGAUACAGGGGAGAAAAAAUUGUCUGAAUACAUUUGUACUUAAAAGCAAUCAAUAUAACAAAACCUUGGCCCUCCAAUCUUUAACUAAAUACAUCCAGUAAAAGGAAGUUCAAACUAAGCAAUGGCAAUGACAAGAAGUCUGCAACGGAUUCAACCACAACAUAUCACUAUGCCUACACCUCUGGGUAACAAAAGACAGAUUUAACAUCCCAUCUCAUGAUGCGGCAACCGUGCAUUUAGUAAAAGGAAAUAAUUCCAUCCCUGCCAACAGAAUAGACACCAACACAUGUAAAACAAGGAAUCCUAUACAAGAGAAGAAAUCCUUGAGAUCGCCUUGCUAUCCUUA
This 1970-nucleotide long non-coding RNA is filed under the name Aquilegia coerulea. Its description in RNAcentral is "long non-coding RNA (ACOE_LNC001857)". Lineage: Eukaryota; Viridiplantae; Streptophyta; Magnoliopsida; Ranunculales; Ranunculaceae. The record is from RNAcentral.